CGAACGUUUUCUUUCGGAAUGCAUUGCCUUCUUUCAAGAAUCAAAAUGACUCUCGGCAACGGAUAUCUCGGCUCUCGCAUCGAUGAAGAACGCAGCAAAAUGCGAUACUUGGUGUGAAUUGCAGAAUCCCGUGAAUCAUCGAGUUUUUGAACGCAAGUUGCGCCCGAAGCCUUUCGGCCAAGGGCACGCCUGCCUGGGUGUCACGCAUACGUCGCCCCAUCCUCUCGACACCUCGGGAGUCAUGGGAGCAGAAGUUGGCCUCCUGUGUGCCUUGCGCAUGUGGUUGGCCCAAAAUGCAUGUUCGCGGCAAAUGAUAGCCAUGACGAUCGGUGGUUGUAAAGACCCUCUGAAAAAGUCGUGCGCUGUUCUUAGACGUCGGGACAUUCCUUGACCCUAGGGCGUCCUCAGGGCGCGCUCCGACCGCGACCCCAGGUCAGGCGGGACUACCCGCUGAG
RNAcentral lists this ribosomal RNA (455 nucleotides) under embryophyte environmental sample. RNAcentral's name for it is "eukaryotic LSU rRNA". The stretch from base 48 to 203 matches the Rfam family "5.8S ribosomal RNA". The record is from RNAcentral. Lineage: Eukaryota; Viridiplantae; Streptophyta.